Molecule: ribosomal RNA, 455 nt
Filed under: uncultured bacterium
Lineage: Bacteria
Description: bacterial SSU rRNA
Rfam family: Bacterial small subunit ribosomal RNA
Source: RNAcentral
GUCGAACGGAACGACAGGAGCUUGCUCCUGGGCGUCGAGUGGCGGACGGGUGAGUAAUGCAUAGGAAUCUACCCAUGUAGUGGGGGACAACCUGGGGAAACUCAGGCUAAUACCGCAUGAGCCCUUCGGGGGAAAGCAGGGGAUCUUCGGACCUUGCGCUAUUGGAUGAGCCUAUGUCUGAUUAGCUUGUUGGUGGGGUAACGCCCCACCAAGGCGACGAUCAGUAGCUGGUCUGAGAGGACGAUCAGCCACACUGGGACUGAGACACGGCCCAGACUCCUACGGGAGGCAGCAGUGGGGAAUAUUGGACAAUGGGCGCAAGCCUGAUCCAGCAAUGCCGCGUGUGUGAAGAAGGCCUGCGGGUUGUAAAGCACUUUCAGUGGGGAGGAAAAGCUCAAGAUUAAUACUCUUGAGUCUUGACGUUAUCCACAGAAGAAGCACCGGCUAACUCUGUG